Molecule: non-coding RNA, 29 nt
Filed under: Cricetulus griseus (Chinese hamster)
Lineage: Eukaryota; Metazoa; Chordata; Mammalia; Rodentia; Cricetidae
Source: RNAcentral
UGCAGUGCUUUCUGAAGAAACAAGACAGA